Triticum aestivum (bread wheat) is the source of this 135-nucleotide non-coding RNA. The record is from Rfam. Lineage: Eukaryota; Viridiplantae; Streptophyta; Magnoliopsida; Poales; Poaceae.
UUUGUACUCCCUCCGUCAAAAAAGUCUUCUCUUAAAUUUGUCUAAAUACGGAUGUAUCUAGUUACAUUUUAGUGUUAGAUACAUCCGUAUCUAAACAAAUGUAAGACAAGAAUUUUGGGACGGAGGGAAUACUAC